GUUUGAGAUUAGAUUUACUAUAGGGAUAAUCUUUAAUUUUAAAGAAAUCUAUUCCUAAGUAAGUUGAAACUCUCGUGAUCUUAACUAUAAAUAAACUUUCAAUUCACAACAACUAACAAAAAAAAAAAAUCACAGAGAAAGCAAUCAACAGAGAAAAUCAGAGGGCAACACAGGGGAGAUAGGAGCAAAUCCCCAUUUUGUUCGGCCGCUCCCAAUUGCCAGUCACCACCAUCAGUCAUCCACUACCUAAACCAGCAACCGAAGACUACCACUACCUUUUCUUGCCCAAAUAGUAACCAUCGAUCCAAAAUCCAACAAAUAAUCAAAACACAAUAACCAGAGUCAAGCAUCAAAAAUAGCCACAGAGAUAGAAUCAACAAUCGACAACAAUCGAAAGACGAAAACAAAAGAUAUUCUUCUAGCAGCGGUUUUCGCUUUGGGAUUCACUUUUAGUUAGGCACCUUUUGGUAUUCUUUCAAACGGCAAAAGAAAGGGGAAGGAUUUGGAGGAGUUUUUCAAUGAUCCGAGUAGCUGGGAUUAGGAAUUCCAAGAAGUGGUAGAAUGGUCUUUGUGUUUAAAUUUGCAAGGUGUUGUGAGAUUCCAAAAAUAAUCAGGGAAGUGACAACUUAUCGGCAAAAAGGACGAGAAAACAGCAAAAACUGAGAGCUGUGUUGCUGAAAUGAGAAGUUGGGCUUUAUCCUUUUGCAAUAAAGAAUAAAGAAAGGGGAAGGAAUGUUCUAGAACUUGAAGAUCUGGUCAAGUCCAAAAAGCUUAUAUUUUGAGUGUAACCUGAGGAGGAUUCAAGAACCCACAAUUUGAAGCCUCGAACUCCAGCCCUACUUUUUAGCUUAGGCUGGCCUGCGUUGGAUUUGAGUUGUAACUGAAAUUUCAGGUUUUCAUCUUUUUUUUUUUUCCUUAUUUAAUUUUCUGGUUCUUUUUUUUUUUUAUCAUUUAUUUACUUUGUUAUACAUUUUAUAAAGCAUUCAUUCUUAAACUAGAAAAAUGUUUAGUUGCUUCACACUUAAAAAACUAAAAUAUGGUAGAAUAAAAUAUAUUUAUACUAGUAGUUUUCUUUAAUUAAAAUAUUAUCAGAAUCAUGUAUUUCAUAUAAAUCUUGAAGAUAGAUAACCUUUUUUUUUGAAUCAUGUAAUUUAAUUCAAACUUUAAUUAUAAGUGAAUUUUUUUCUAAGGAAUUUACUUUUCAGAAAUUUUUAGAUAAGCAAUUUCUUUUAAAUUCUCCAUGGUGGAAAGUUUAGUUGAAAACCUAAAAAAAUAAAUUUAAUUUCUCGUCAAUUGAACACCAAAUAUAAAAAAAAAAUGAAACAAAAACUCUAAAAUAAAUGGCAAUUAUCCUAAUGAGAUAAUUUUAGAAAUCAAGAAUGGUUGAUUUUUAGAGAUUUUUAAGUGAGAAGUUUUCUUAUAAAUUCUCUAGAAUGGUGGACAAUUUAUAUGAAAAUGUUAAUAAAAAUAAUUUAUGAAAAUAAGAAUAAAGAAUAUAAUCCUAAAAGAUAAAUAAAAUUACCAACUAGUAAAAUUUUAGAACUCAAGAAUUGUUGAAUUUCUAGAAUUUUUUUAAAUGAGAAGUUUUUUUUUAAUAUCUCAAACUGGAGAUUUAGAUAAAAUUUUCAAUAACAAUAUUGACAUUUGCUUUAAAAUCAUAAAAAAUUUUAAAAAUAAUUUUAGAAAGUUUUAGAAAUAACAAAAAUAUAUCUUAAAAAAUAGAAAAAUAAUAAAAUAAAUUUGAUGUUGGGAUUCUAAGAGAUCAAGAAUGGUUGAUCCUCUAAAAAAUUUCAAGAUGAGAAACUCUAGAUAAUAAAUUUAUUUCUAAAAUUUUAUCGUAAUGAUGGUAAAAUUAGAUGAAUUUAUAAUAAUUAUAUUUUUAAAUGUAGUAAAUAAAAAGGAUAGAAAUGAGAAGUUUUGGAAAUUGAUUUUUUUAAAAAAAUUUUAGGUAAAAAAAGUAUUUCUAAAAGUUUUUAAAAUGGUGAAAAAUUUAGAUUUGUCUCCAUAGAAUAGAAAUUUAGAUACAAAAAAUUUACACAAAAUAAAAAGAAUAAAUUUUGUGGAUGAAAUUUCUAAUAAUUACAAAUGGAUGAUUAUUUAAACAAUUUCUAGGUGAAAAAAUAUUUCUAAUUUUGACCUAAAUGAUGGAAGAAUUAUAUAUAUUUUCAAUAAAAGUAAAAUAAAAUAUAAAUGAUUAAGUUUUUUUUUUUAUGACAGAACCUCUUCAAAAAAAUAAAUGUGAUUUUUAAAUACUCCUGUUGAGGAAGUAUUUUUUAAGAAUUCUGCCAAAUUAAUGAAAAAAUUUUAAAAAUUAUUUUUAAUAUUUAAAUAUUAAAGUUUAAUAAAAAAUCAUUAGAACCAAUAAUCCUUAAGAUAAUUUAAAAUUAAAUGGUAUCAUCUUAGGAUGGGAGUUAUGAGGAUGCUAUAAUUUUUUUCGUAUGUAAUCGAACUCUCGAACCCUAUUCUAAUUAGUAAACCAAAACAUUUUUUUAAAGACCCUUAGUCAAGUUUAAAACAUCCUUAAAAUGAAUAUAAAUAGAUUCACCAAAGUGAUCAAUCAUAUUUAAUCAAAAAAUAUUGAUGAUGACUCUUUUAGUUGUAUUUAGCGAUAAAUUUACGAAUUUAUAUAUUAUGACACUUGGUAAAUAAUCUUUAAAUCCAAUAUAAAUCCCAGACUUUGGAAUGGGAAAGCUUCGCUUCAUUCUAAACUUUUAUAUAAAAAACAUUUUGUGGAACUAAUAUGUGACUUAUUGCACAUUUUGAAAGUUUGGGGGUACAUUAUACAAUUUUUUAGUUUAUAUAUCAAUUUAUACGUUUUAAUACAUAGUUCAUGAACUAUACUAGUAAUUAAUUCAUUCCAAAAAGUGUCUAUUUCCCUUUUAAGAGCUCCAAAUUGGUGUUGGGCAGGGUAGGUUUAAGUUCCUUACCUCUGUCUAAAAUGGCACAGGCCAGAUUUGCUUGCCAGUCGGAAAAACCAACAGGGCAAUAAAAGAAGAAAAAAAAGGAAAAAAGAAAAAGAAAAAAAAAAGAAAACGAAAUCUAAUGUUUUUAAACAAUGGGGUCGGUAUGAUGAAUACAUUGCUUCAGCUUUAGACAAGUAUCCAUAUUGCAAUGAUGCUUUCUAAGGACAAGACUAAAGUCGCAAUGAAUUUUUUUUUAUAUGUCAACACAAAUGGACUGGAAAUCUUGAUGGAUGGUAAACCUUCCGUAACUUUUCCCAUAUAGCUUAGAGAUGAGAAUUGUCCUUGGGUGUUAAGUUCUUCAAUCUUUGCUAUCCAAACGUUUGAUUGAGAAAAUCAGUGUUUAUCUUCUUUUUUUUUUUUUACCGAAAAGGAGUUCCUUCAAAGGUUUGUGACCCCUUAUGAGGAUCUUUCUUUAUUAAAGGUAUAUGAGGAGAAGCUAGGCCUUUCAAGAUAGAUUGUACAUAAGCUGAAUAAGUGAAUUUUCAUAUCAUUUUUUUAAAGGCUUAAUCUCAGUGAUAAUUUUUCUUUUCAUGCCUUUGAAAUUCAAAAAGAAAAUUGUGGGCUGAAAAAGAACAAAGUGAUAUGCAUCUGUCUUCCAUUUCGGGAUUUUAAUGUUAUGAUCUUAUUUUGUAUGAGCUGCAGCCACUGCUUUUUUAGUUUGAUCAAGUCCACUAAUGCAUUAUCCUUUUUGGCCUACAUGUAAUAUGAUGGAGAUUCAAGAUAAAACGAAAAAGUAUGAAAUAAUUUACCUUUUUUGAGUUAGUUUUUUAUACUGAAUAAAUGACCAGAGUAACUGUUUGAAGAGGAAAAACACUAUUUCCUUGUCAGAAGGGCAGAAACUGAAUUUUGAGUGCUGCAAAAACUAAAUUAUCAAAAGCACAAAUUAUUAUCAUCCUGAUUCCAUGUCUAUCCAGGGGUUUUCAGAACCAUGAAUUCUUCAUUAGACAUUCCAGAUGGCAACCUCAAAAACCCAUCUUAUAGUUUCCAUUCUAGUGUCCAAGUCCCUGCCACCGUGCAUAUAAGGUCUCUUUUUUUUUUUGCAUUUGGGAUAAGAGAAGGAGUUGUAAGUACUGAAAUUCAAACCACAAACCUAUUAGAUGUCAUUUUUUGAGGAUAACUGCAUGAACCAUCUACCAGCUUCUAUAUAAGGUCUUAUUUGUUCCAAAGCUUUUCAAAGAAAGGCUGACAUUAGACAUUUGUAAAUUGGGUGGAGUAGCAACUGAUAUUAAAAACGGGUUGCACUUUCCACCAUGGUGGCUAUGGAGCUGACCAUCAUUCUUUAAUAGCACUGAGGAGAGCAUUGCACAUUUUACAACAUAAUGUGAUGGAAAUAUUCAUUUCUAUGGAGAUGUAAAUCCAAACUGUGGUGCCUUGUGCUAGUUCAGUAAUGUCUCCAUUCUUUUAGUCCUAUGGGAUUAUGCGAAGGGAGAUGGGCUUGUGAUAGAACGAGAGGAUGAUUUCCAAGGACAUGCAUGCUCUACUUGGUUCAGAAAAAAAGGAGAUGAAGGGAGACAUCCCUGUGUUUUUAAAAUUUUGAUGUAAGUUCUUUAUUACUUAAUUAUCUGCUACUGGUUCUUCAUUGUUUUAGGGCAAAGAAUUAAAUCAUGAGAUAUAUCACCUGUAAUUAUUGCAUUAUAAUUCAAUGAUGAUUUAAACUCAAAUUAACUCACACUCGAAAUGGCUAGACUUUAAAAUAAAUGGUUAGAAUUAAAUUGGAA
This 4681-nucleotide long non-coding RNA is filed under the name Durio zibethinus. RNAcentral describes it as "long non-coding RNA (DZIB_LNC002433)". Lineage: Eukaryota; Viridiplantae; Streptophyta; Magnoliopsida; Malvales; Malvaceae. The record is from RNAcentral.